AAGCCCUCGGCUCAACUGGGGAAUGCGCCCGAAACUGCCGUUCUUGAGUGUCGGAGAGGGUGACGGAAUUCCCGGUGUAGAGGUGAAAUUCGUAGAUAUCGGGAGGAACACCAGUGGCGAAGGCGGUCACCUGGACGAACACUGACGCUGAGACGCGAAAGCGUGGGGAGCAAACAGGAUUAGAUACCCUGGUAGUCCACGCCCUAAACGUUGGGCGCUAGGUGUUGCGGGUAUUGACCCCUGCCGUGGCCAGGGCGAAUUUC
Molecule: ribosomal RNA, 263 nt
Filed under: uncultured bacterium
Lineage: Bacteria
Description: partial 16S ribosomal RNA
Rfam family: Bacterial small subunit ribosomal RNA
Source: RNAcentral